This is a long non-coding RNA of Zalophus californianus (California sea lion), 551 nucleotides long. RefSeq lists it as uncharacterized. The transcript is spliced from 5 exons. The record is from RefSeq and is a predicted model, not a curated record. Lineage: Eukaryota; Metazoa; Chordata; Mammalia; Carnivora; Otariidae.
GAAACAUGGGCUGAGAGAGCCAGGCGGCGCCGCAAGGAAGCGGCAGCUUGCGCCAGUGUCUAUUUAAGGAUUGUGGAAACUCAACAGGGGCUGGAGACCGUUCUCAACUUGCUACCUCUGCCUCUGGGCUAAUGUAACCAAGAGAUCAAGCUGCUGCUGACAUUAUAUUCAAUGCAGUCCCAGAGGAUAGGAAUUUAAUUCACUGUUCGUUUUACUCCUGGCUGAAAGUGACCAAGUUGGUUCCCAAGUGUGAGGAAAUCUUGAAGAAUGUAGCCUUUUUACAGGAAUUCUAUUCAAAGGCUCAGUCCAGUUCAAGAUGCUGUCGAACUUCAGGCCUGGUGCUUGAAAGAAUUGUGCUUGAAAGAAGCUUUUCAAGAAGGAGACAGAUCAAUGGAUUCUUAAGGAUCAGAGAGGGGCUGGUUGCAAAGGAGCAUGAGGGAGUUUUGAGGAAAUGUUUUAUAUCUUGAUUAUGGUGGUGACUGCAUUUGUCAAAUUUCGGGAUGAGUUUUGCUAAAUGUAAAUUUCACUUCAAUAAAUGUGACUUUAAAAAC